This 302-nucleotide ribosomal RNA is filed under the name Ooperipatus birrgus. RNAcentral describes it as "partial 12S ribosomal RNA". Lineage: Eukaryota; Metazoa; Onychophora; Udeonychophora; Euonychophora; Peripatopsidae. The record is from RNAcentral.
GAAACUUAAAAUUUUGACGGUAUUUAAUAUUCCAGAGGAAUAUGUAAUUUAAUCGAUACUACACGAUAAUUUUACUUAUUUUAUUUAUGUAUAUCUCCGUUAAUUGAUUUUAUUAAAAAUUUUUAAAAAUUUCUUAAUAAAUAAUUUUAUUAUUUCAGGUCAAGGUGCAGAAUAAAUAAGUUAUUAUGUAUUACAAUCAAGUAGAUUGAUUGAAUAAAUAUUGAAAUAUUUUUUGAAAUUGAAUCUGUAAGUAAAGUAAUUAUAAAAUUUUAUUUGAAAUUUUAUUGAAUAUGUACACAUCG